Long non-coding RNA from Physella acuta, 615 nucleotides. RefSeq lists it as uncharacterized. NCBI's taxonomy places the organism in Eukaryota, Metazoa, Mollusca, Gastropoda, Physidae. The record is from RefSeq and is a predicted model, not a curated record.
UUAAGAAUGCUACUUGUAUAGGCCCAGUGGUUAAUGAACAAGCAAAUCAAAUUUCUAUUUCUUGUAAAGUGGAACAAGUUUUAACAAAUCUCGUAUGUUUAUUUUACGAUCAUCAAAACCAGUUACUUGACGCAAAGAGCACAACUUAUACCAUCCGAGAAAUAGUGAACGAAACAAGUUAUACAGCAGGAGAAUGCAAGCACACAGAAUCUAUAACAAAAGCUGGAGUAGGGGAACACACAUUUUCUGUACUGCUGUAUCCAAAUAUUAAAAAGGGGGAGUCAUAUGGAGAGAAGAUUUACUUACAAGACAGUGUGAUAUAUUCAAUCCCAAAAGCCACGAUAGAUAGUAGCUGUCCAGAAGGUGCUGAUGCUAAGGAUGGUUAUAUCAAAAGUGAAGGGACAUUUUCCUGCCUAUGUAAGAGGACCGAUAACGGGAGUAUUGGCUAUGUCAAUUGGUUUGACACAAACGGCAAGGAAAUUGCAGAGAAAGGGCAAAAUGAAAGCGUUUUGUUUAUUAAAAAUAUCAGAGAUCUAGGCCAGUCUUACGUUUGCAAGGGAGUUUCUGUUUAUGGGACUCAAGAAAUAGGGGAACUGUUUAGACCACAAUUAGCAU